GUCCACGCCGUAAACGAUGGACACUAGCCGUUCGAAGCAUUAACCCUUUGAGUGGCAAAGUUAACACAUUAAGCAUCCCGCCUGGGGAGUACGAGCGCAAGCUUAAAACUCAAAGGAAUUGACGGGGACCUGCACAAGCAGUGGAGCGUGUGGUUUAAUUCGAUACAAAACGAAAAACCUCACCAGGGUUUGACAUGUAGCUGCAAGCGCACGGAAACGUGUGAUCUUCGAGAGUGCUACACAGAUGCUGCAUGGCUGUCGUCAGCUCGUGGCGUGAGCUGUUUCCUUAAGUGGAUAAACGAGCGCAACCCGCACCGUAUGUUAAAUAAUCCAUGCGGAACCGCCUCAUUUUUUGAGGAGGAAGGCGCGGAUGAUGUCAAGUCAGCACGGCUCUUACACCCUGGGCUACACACACACUACAAUGGCGAAUAACAACGAGCUGCAAACUGGUGACAGUAAGC
This 461-nucleotide ribosomal RNA is filed under the name uncultured Chloroflexota bacterium. RNAcentral describes it as "bacterial SSU rRNA". It matches the Rfam family "Bacterial small subunit ribosomal RNA", at positions 793 to 1268 of the family's 1533-position model. Lineage: Bacteria; Bacillati; Chloroflexota. The record is from RNAcentral.